RNAcentral lists this ribosomal RNA (695 nucleotides) under Neptunomonas acidivorans. RNAcentral's name for it is "bacterial SSU rRNA". It matches the Rfam family "Bacterial small subunit ribosomal RNA", at positions 57 to 742 of the family's 1533-position model. The record is from RNAcentral. Lineage: Bacteria; Pseudomonadati; Pseudomonadota; Gammaproteobacteria; Oceanospirillales; Oceanospirillaceae.
GCAAGUCGAACGGUAACGACACUAGCUUGCUAGUGGUCGACGAGUGGCGGACGGGUGAGUAACGCGUAGGAAUCUACCUAGUAGUGGGGGAUAGCCAAGGGAAACUUUGGGUAAUACCGCAUACGAUCUAAGGAUGAAAGGGGGCCUCUCUUUGAAGCUCUCGCUAUUAGAUGAGCCUGCGUAAGAUUAGCUUGUUGGUGGGGUAAUGGCCCACCAAGGCGACGAUCUUUAGCUGGUCUGAGAGGAUGAUCAGUCACACUGGAACUGAGACACGGUCCAGACUCCUACGGGAGGCAGCAGUCGGGAAUAUUGGACAAUGGGGGAAACCCUGAUCCAGCCAUGCCGCGUGUGUGAAGAAGGCCCUAGGGUUGUAAAGCACUUUUAGUAGUGAGGAAGGCUCAGUAGUUAAUACCUACUGGGAUUGACGUUAGCUACAGAAAAAGCACCGGCUAAUUUCGUGCCAGCAGCCGCGGUAAUACGAAAGGUGCAAGCGUUAAUCGGAAUUACUGGGCGUAAAGCGCGCGUAGGCGGCUUGGUAAGUUGGAUGUGAAAGCCCCGGGCUCAACCUGGGAACUGCAUCCAAAACUGCCUAGCUAGAGUAUGGUAGAGGAUGGCGGAAUUUCCUGUGUAGCGGUGAAAUGCGUAUAUAUAGGAAGGAACAUCAGUGGCGAAGGCGGCCAUCUGGACCAAUACUG